Molecule: transfer RNA, 62 nt
Filed under: Sphingobacterium oryzagri
Lineage: Bacteria; Pseudomonadati; Bacteroidota; Sphingobacteriia; Sphingobacteriales; Sphingobacteriaceae
Description: Sphingobacterium sp. KACC 22765 tRNA-OTHER
Rfam family: tRNA
About the family: Transfer RNA (tRNA) molecules are approximately 80 nucleotides in length.
Source: RNAcentral
GUCGGAAUAGCUCAGCGGGAGAGCGGCAAAACCACGUGUGGGUUCGAAUCCCACUUCUGCUG